Molecule: long non-coding RNA, 395 nt
Organism: Exaiptasia diaphana
Lineage: Eukaryota; Metazoa; Cnidaria; Anthozoa; Actiniaria; Aiptasiidae
Exons: 2
Source: RefSeq, a predicted model, not a curated record
AGUUAACAAGCUAAAGUAAUCAUACGAAGUCGAUGCUAACAGCAGUUAACCCUAUAUCGUCAAAGAUGAACAACUUAAGAUUUACUCUCUUCUUUGGCUUGGUGAUGUUAUUGGUAUUGGACAACCCAACAGAAAGUAUGGUGGCUGGGAUUUCAUCUGGGGUGACAAAAAAAAGAACUGCAUACGCUAACUGUGAGGGCAUGAGAUCAUUCGUGUGCCAAAUGGCGAUGAAAGUUGGUUGUUAUAACAAUCAUAAAAGAGAAGGAACCUUUCAAGAAGACUGAAACAAACCCUGAACAUCGACAACAGAAUCUCAAAGGCAAAGGACAAAAAAAGAAAAUCUGUAUUUGAUAAAAUCUUAGAAUAUAAUUAUUGAUGAAUAAAUAAACUUUGAA